GCGCGGAGGGCGCUUAUGAAUCGAAGAUUCAUAAUUAGGAUGCGCCCGACAACCUACCACAGAGCGAAGCGAUGUGGUGAUACCAGAA
This 88-nucleotide non-coding RNA is filed under the name unclassified sequences. The record is from Rfam.